ACUCUCCCAGCUCUGCAUGUUUACACUUGUCCUCACUCGUGUGACUUUCGUAAUGUGGAGAGAGAGAAAAGUUCUCCUCAGGAUGUCAGGUUGGCCUUACAGUGGCCCUGAGGAGUCCAACAGGG
Otolemur garnettii (small-eared galago) is the source of this 125-nucleotide small nucleolar RNA. Lineage: Eukaryota; Metazoa; Chordata; Mammalia; Primates; Galagidae. The record is from Ensembl.